RNAcentral lists this microRNA (21 nucleotides) under Monodelphis domestica (gray short-tailed opossum). RNAcentral's name for it is "mdo-miR-12344-5p". Lineage: Eukaryota; Metazoa; Chordata; Mammalia; Didelphimorphia; Didelphidae. The record is from miRBase by way of RNAcentral.
CGGACGGGAUCUGCACGGAGC